Molecule: long non-coding RNA, 729 nt
Filed under: Nicotiana tabacum (common tobacco)
Lineage: Eukaryota; Viridiplantae; Streptophyta; Magnoliopsida; Solanales; Solanaceae
Description: long non-coding RNA (NTAB_LNC005280)
Source: RNAcentral
AUAAAGGAAAGAGUUCAGUUUAGGAUUUAAAACUCUAAUGUUGACUAAAGGGAAGAGUUCAGUUUAGGGUUUAAAACCCUAAUGCUGACUUAAAUGAAAAGAGUUCAGUUUAGGGUUUAAAACCCUAAUGCUGACUUAAAUGAAAAGAGUUCAGUUUAGGGUUUAAAACCCUAAUGCUGACUAAAUGGAAAAGUUCAGUUUAGGGUUUAAAACCCUAAUGCUGACUAAAUGAAAAAAGUUCAGUUUAGGGUUUAAAACCCUAAUGCUGACUGAAGGAAAAAGUUCAGUUUAGAGUUUAAAAUCCUAAUGCUGACUGAAGGAAAGAGUUCAGUUUAGGGUUUAAAACCCUAAUGCUGACUAAAGGAAAAAGUUCAGUUUAGAGUUUAAAACCCUAAUGCUAACUGAAUGGAAAAAGUUUAGUUUAGGGUUUAAAACCCUAAUGCUGACUAAAGGAAAAGAGUUCACUUUAGGGUUUAAAACCCUAAUGCUGACUAAAGGAAAAAGUUCAGUUUAGGGUUUAAAAUCCUAAUGCUGACUAAAGGAAAAGAGUUCAGUUUAGGGUUUAAAAUCCUAAUGCUGACUGAAGGAAAGAGUUCAGUUUAAAACCCUAAUGCUAACUGAAUGGAAAAAGUUCAGUUUAGGGUUUAAAACCCUAAUGCUGACUAAAGGAAAAGAGUUCACUUUAGGGUUUAAAAACCUAAUGCUGACUAAAGGAAAAGAGUUCAGUUU